Molecule: ribosomal RNA, 122 nt
Filed under: Cephus cinctus (wheat stem sawfly)
Lineage: Eukaryota; Metazoa; Arthropoda; Insecta; Hymenoptera; Cephidae
Source: RNAcentral
GGCAAGGUCCAUACCACGUUGAAUACACCAGUUCUCGUCCGAUCACUGAAGUUAAGCAACGUUGGGCGCGGUCAGUACUUGGAUGGGUGACCGCUUGGGAACACCGCGUGUCCUUGCCCCCC